Molecule: ribosomal RNA, 460 nt
Filed under: uncultured bacterium
Lineage: Bacteria
Description: partial 16S ribosomal RNA
Rfam family: Bacterial small subunit ribosomal RNA
Source: RNAcentral
CCUACGGGAGGCAGCAGUGAGGAAUAUUGGUCAAUGGGCGGAAGCCUGAACCAGCCAAGUCGCGUGAGGGAUUAAGGCCCUGCGGGUCGUAAACCUCUUUUGCCGGGGAGCAGAGGUCCGGACGUGUCCGGGCCGGGAGAGUACCCGGAGAAAAAGCAUCGGCUAACUCCGUGCCAGCAGCCGCGGUAAUACGGAGGAUGCGAGCGUUAUCCGGAUUUAUUGGGUUAAAGGGGUGCUUCGGCGGGCAUUUAAGCCGGCGGUCAAAUGUCGGGGCUCAACCCCGGCCUGCCGUCGGAACUGGGUGCCUUGAGUGGGCGAGAAGGAUGCGGAAUGCGUGGUGUAGCGGUGAAAUGCAUAGAUAUCACGCAGAACCCCGAUUGCGAAGGCAGCAUACCGGCGCCCUACUGACGCUGAGGCACGAAAGUGCGGGUAUCGAACAGGAUUAGAUACCCCUGUAGUC